This 895-nucleotide ribosomal RNA is filed under the name uncultured Pseudonocardiaceae bacterium. RNAcentral describes it as "bacterial SSU rRNA". It matches the Rfam family "Bacterial small subunit ribosomal RNA", at positions 23 to 918 of the family's 1533-position model. The record is from RNAcentral. Lineage: Bacteria; Bacillati; Actinomycetota; Actinomycetes; Pseudonocardiales; Pseudonocardiaceae.
CUCAGGACGAACGCUGGCGGCGUGCUUAACACAUGCAAGUCGAGCGGUAAGGCCCUUCGGGGUACACGAGCGGCGAACGGGUGAGUAACACGUGAGCAACCUGCCCCUGACUCUGGGAUAAGCCCGGGAAACCGGGUCUAAUACCGGAUACGACACGCCUCCGCAUGGGUGGUGUGUGGAAAGUUUUUUCGGUUGGGGAUGGGCUCGCGGCCUAUCAGCUUGUUGGUGGGGUGAUGGCCUACCAAGGCGGUGACGGGUAGCCGGCCUGAGAGGGCGACCGGCCACACUGGGACUGAGAUACGGCCCAGACUCCUACGGGAGGCAGCAGUGGGGAAUCUUGCGCAAUGGGCGGAAGCCUGACGCAGCAACGCCACGUGGGGGAUGACGGCCUUCGGGUUGUAAACCUCUUUCGGUCUUGACGAAGGCAUCUCGUUGUGGGGUGUUGACGGUAGGGACAGAAGAAGCACCGGCUAACUACGUGCCAGCAGCCGCGGUAAUACGUAGGGUGCGAGCGUUGUCCGGAGUUACUGGGCGUAAAGAGCUCGUAGGCGGUUUGUCGCGUCGGCCGUGAAAUCCUGCUGCUUAACGGCGGGCUUGCGGUCGAUACGGGCAGACUAGAGUUCGGUAGGGGAGACUGGAAUUCCUGGUGUAGCGGUGAAAUGCGCAGAUAUCAGGAGGAACACCGGUGGCGAAGGCGGGUCUCUGGGCCGAUACUGACGCUGAGGAGCGAAAGCGUGGGGAGCGAACAGGAUUAGAUACCCUGGUAGUCCACGCUGUAAACGUUGGGCGCUAGGUGUGGGGACUGUUUCCACGGUUUCCGUGCCGUAGCUAACGCAUUAAGCGCCCCGCCUGGGGAGUACGGCCGCAAGGCUAAAACUCAAAUGAAUUGACGGGG